GAAACCUUGCUUGAAUGAUGCAAGAAUUUUCAGUAGCGUGUCUGGUUGGUACUUAAUGCUGAUUUGCGUUGUUUUGAAUAAACCUGAACGUUCUAUUCUUGGUAAUUUAUCCUUUGCACUUAUUCUUAAUUGUUAAGUGAUCAAGAUGAACUGGAAUAAUGUGACUUGCCACAUCCAGCUGUAGGCUGUUGACUGUUAUCUUACUGUAGGACAAAAGUAGUAAGAAGAAGAUUGCAUACACAAAUAGGGAUAAUUUAUCACAUGUCGAAAUAACUAUCUACUAUCACAUAUGAAAGCAUAAUUGCCUCGUACAUAUAUUGUAGCCGCCUUCUGUAAGUGUUCAGUUUUUUUAGUUCCAAAAUGGAUGAAAUUAAUCAUUGGUACAUAACAAUAAGUUGACUGGAUCUGAUCAUGUGAUAUCAAUAAAAUUAUGAACAUGCUUCCAAUUGAGCUUGGUUGAGUUGUAUUUGGUGUAGUCGGAUUAAACUCUUUAUCUUUUCUCCUUUUGGGUUCACAUUAGUUUAUAAUAAAAAGAAUAUUGAGAUAGUUUGUGAAAAAAAAAGUUUAAAUUAAGCCAAUCCACACAGCCAUCUGAUUUACAUAUUUUAGAAUAUUUUUUAAUUGUCUGCUCCCUAAUCUCUGGGAAUUACUUCUUCUGAAAGUGUGUAUUUGGCGGAGGAAAGAAAUAAGAUGAAACCAAAUAGGUAGAGUGAUAAUAGAUGAGAAAUAAAGUGAAAAGUAAAAUUGUUUAGUUAAACAGAAGUAGAGAAGAUACAAGGAGAAAAAUACAGGGAUGACUCGAAAUAGAUGAGAAAUAAAGUGAAAAAUAAAGUUGUUUAGGUAAAGAGAAUUAGAGAAGAGAUGGGGAGAAAGAUAUAGAGAUGAGAUGACUAGAAAUAGAUGAGAAAUAGUAUUACGGAUCCUUCACUAUUUUUAAAUUAGUUCUUUCCUUUCUCUUCUCUACCGAACACCAAGAUUCAUUAUUUCUUUAUCCAUCUUCACCCAUCCUCUCAACCUAUAAGCCACCCUAACUGUUUAGUGCCUAACCAGCUUCCAAAGUAGAUAUUUUAUGACUUUUUAUUUGGUUUUAAUUAAUGGUUUUUUAUAUGUUGAUAAAUUGUAUAUGAUCAUGAUACAGUUGUCAAAUGUUGUACCCGUUAAGGAUGGAUCUGAAGUACCUCAGACGAAGGUUGGAUGUGC
Molecule: long non-coding RNA, 1200 nt
Filed under: Phaseolus vulgaris (common bean)
Lineage: Eukaryota; Viridiplantae; Streptophyta; Magnoliopsida; Fabales; Fabaceae
Description: long non-coding RNA (PVUL_LNC005096)
Source: RNAcentral